ACGGGUGAGUAAUAUAUCGGAACGUGCCCAGUUGUGGGGGAUAGCCCGGCGAAAGCCGGAUUAAUACCGCAUACGACCUGAGGGUGAAAGCGGGGGAUCGCAAGACCUCGCGCAAUUGGAGCGGCCGAUAUCAGAUUAGCUAGUUGGUGGGGUAAAGGCCUACCAAGGCGACGAUCUGUAGCUGGUCUGAGAGGACGACCAGCCACACUGGGACUGAGACACGGCCCAGACUCCUACGGGAGGCAGCAGUGGGGAAUUUUGGACAAUGGGCGCAAGCCUGAUCCAGCCAUGCCGCGUGCGGGAAGAAGGCCUUCGGGUUGUAAACCGCUUUUGUCAGGGAAGAAACGGUCUGAACUAAUACUUUGGACUAAUGACGGUACCUGAAGAAUAAGCACCGGCUAACUACGUGCCAGCAGCCGCGGUAAUACGUAGGGUGCAAGCGUUAAUCGGAAUUACUGGGCGUAAAGCGUGCGCAGGCGGCUAUGCAAGACAGAUGUGAAAUCCCCGGGCUCAACCUGGGAACUGCAUUUGUGACUGCAUGGCUAGAGUACGGUAGAGGGGGAUGGAAUUCCGCGUGUAGCAGUG
Molecule: ribosomal RNA, 585 nt
Filed under: proteobacterium StTD391
Lineage: Bacteria; Pseudomonadati; Pseudomonadota
Also listed under: 3 other names
Description: bacterial SSU rRNA
Rfam family: Bacterial small subunit ribosomal RNA
Source: RNAcentral